GAUCACCUGUUCAGGAUUUUUUGCCAUCGAGAUGGAAAUCAGCUGUUCAGUCGGUUCACCCCGUUUUUCCUCUUUCCAUUGGUUCAACUUGUCGACCGAUAGGGAAUCCUUCGAUUUAUUAUUUUGAGUUGAGAUUUGGAAGCAUCGUCGAGCGAGCUGUUGAUCCCCGUACAUUUCUCCAGCUCCAUUUUUAGUCAGGAAUGGGACCAGCAAGUGAUAUGUCGAGACUAUCGCUCUGAGAGCGUUUAGUUCGGGUCUUCCACGUAUGGCGUUGUAGGCCAAAGGUACUCGGAUGACCG
Molecule: long non-coding RNA, 299 nt
Filed under: Elaeis guineensis (African oil palm)
Lineage: Eukaryota; Viridiplantae; Streptophyta; Magnoliopsida; Arecales; Arecaceae
Description: long non-coding RNA (EGUI_LNC000773)
Source: RNAcentral